This 54-nucleotide ribosomal RNA is filed under the name Parasola sp. KM201677. Its description in RNAcentral is "partial 18S ribosomal RNA". The record is from RNAcentral. Lineage: Eukaryota; Fungi; Basidiomycota; Agaricomycetes; Agaricales; Psathyrellaceae.
CCUGGCGGAAGGAUCAUUAUCGAAUAAAUCUGGCGUGGUUGUAGCUGGCUUCUA